ACUACGGGAGUCGCGCGAAGAAUGCUGGGAUACUGGAGGUCGGCCCAGCGCUUCCUGCGGGUUUAGCGCUUUUUCCGAGUUACAGAGAAAACCCUGUGAGGAAUCAUUUUUCCAGAUGAAUAAUUUGAGACACAGAACUAUUAAGAAACUUGCUAAAGGCUACAGAUCUGCUUUGUGAGUGCUGUAAUUAGAACAAAAUGAAUGUCCUCAGAAUUAAAACCCCACGUCAGUAAUGGUUGACCACAAGGCAGG
This is a long non-coding RNA of Cebus imitator (Panamanian white-faced capuchin), 252 nucleotides long. RefSeq lists it as uncharacterized. Lineage: Eukaryota; Metazoa; Chordata; Mammalia; Primates; Cebidae. The record is from RefSeq and is a predicted model, not a curated record. The transcript is spliced from 3 exons.